RNAcentral lists this ribosomal RNA (2892 nucleotides) under Pseudomonas sp. B21-019. RNAcentral describes it as "23S ribosomal RNA". It matches the Rfam family "Bacterial large subunit ribosomal RNA". The record is from RNAcentral. Lineage: Bacteria; Pseudomonadati; Pseudomonadota; Gammaproteobacteria; Pseudomonadales; Pseudomonadaceae.
GGUCAAGUGAAGAAGCGCAUACGGUGGAUGCCUUGGCAGUCAGAGGCGAUGAAAGACGUGGUAGCCUGCGAAAAGCUUCGGGGAGUCGGCAAACAGACUUUGAUCCGGAGAUGUCUGAAUGGGGGAACCCAGCCAUCAUAAGAUGGUUAUCUUGUACUGAAUACAUAGGUGCAAGAGGCGAACCAGGGGAACUGAAACAUCUAAGUACCCUGAGGAAAAGAAAUCAACCGAGAUUCCCUUAGUAGUGGCGAGCGAACGGGGACUAGCCCUUAAGUGGCUUUGAGAUUAGCGGAACGCUCUGGAAAGUGCGGCCAUAGUGGGUGAUAGCCCUGUACGCGAAAAUCUCUUAGUCAUGAAAUCGAGUAGGACGGAGCACGAGAAACUUUGUCUGAAUAUGGGGGGACCAUCCUCCAAGGCUAAAUACUACUGACUGACCGAUAGUGAACUAGUACCGUGAGGGAAAGGCGAAAAGAACCCCGGAGAGGGGAGUGAAAUAGAUCCUGAAACCGUAUGCGUACAAGCAGUGGGAGCCCACUUUGUUGGGUGACUGCGUACCUUUUGUAUAAUGGGUCAGCGACUUAUUUUCAGUGGCGAGCUUAACCGAAUAGGGGAGGCGUAGCGAAAGCGAGUCUUAAUAGGGCGUCUAGUCGCUGGGAAUAGACCCGAAACCGGGCGAUCUAUCCAUGGGCAGGUUGAAGGUUAGGUAACACUGACUGGAGGACCGAACCGACUACCGUUGAAAAGUUAGCGGAUGACCUGUGGAUCGGAGUGAAAGGCUAAUCAAGCUCGGAGAUAGCUGGUUCUCCUCGAAAGCUAUUUAGGUAGCGCCUCAUGUAUCACUGUAGGGGGUAGAGCACUGUUUCGGCUAGGGGGUCAUCCCGACUUACCAAACCGAUGCAAACUCCGAAUACCUACAAGUGCCGAGCAUGGGAGACACACGGCGGGUGCUAACGUCCGUCGUGAAAAGGGAAACAACCCAGACCGUCAGCUAAGGUCCCAAAGUUAUGGUUAAGUGGGAAACGAUGUGGGAAGGCUUAGACAGCUAGGAGGUUGGCUUAGAAGCAGCCACCCUUUAAAGAAAGCGUAAUAGCUCACUAGUCGAGUCGGCCUGCGCGGAAGAUGUAACGGGGCUCAAACCAUACACCGAAGCUACGGGUAUCACUUAGGUGAUGCGGUAGAGGAGCGUUCUGUAAGCCUGUGAAGGUGAGUUGAGAAGCUUGCUGGAGGUAUCAGAAGUGCGAAUGCUGACAUGAGUAACGACAAUGGGUGUGAAAAACACCCACGCCGAAAGACCAAGGUUUCCUGCGCAACGUUAAUCGACGCAGGGUUAGUCGGUCCCUAAGGCGAGGCUGAAAAGCGUAGUCGAUGGAAAACAGGUUAAUAUUCCUGUACUUCUGGUUAUUGCGAUGGAGGGACGGAGAAGGCUAGGCCAGCUUGGCGUUGGUUGUCCAAGUUUAAGGUGGUAGGCUGAGAUCUUAGGUAAAUCCGGGAUCUCAAGGCCGAGAGCUGAUGACGAGUGUUCUUUUAGAACACGAAGUGGUUGAUGCCAUGCUUCCAAGAAAAGCUUCUAAGCUUCAGGUAACCAGGAACCGUACCCCAAACCGACACAGGUGGUUGGGUAGAGAAUACCAAGGCGCUUGAGAGAACUCGGGUGAAGGAACUAGGCAAAAUGGCACCGUAACUUCGGGAGAAGGUGCGCCGGUGAGGGUGAAGCACUUGCUGCGUAAGCCCACGCCGGUCGAAGAUACCAGGCCGCUGCGACUGUUUAUUAAAAACACAGCACUCUGCAAACACGAAAGUGGACGUAUAGGGUGUGACGCCUGCCCGGUGCCGGAAGGUUAAUUGAUGGGGUUAGCUAACGCGAAGCUCUUGAUCGAAGCCCCGGUAAACGGCGGCCGUAACUAUAACGGUCCUAAGGUAGCGAAAUUCCUUGUCGGGUAAGUUCCGACCUGCACGAAUGGCGUAACGAUGGCGGCGCUGUCUCCACCCGAGACUCAGUGAAAUUGAAAUCGCUGUGAAGAUGCAGUGUAUCCGCGGCUAGACGGAAAGACCCCGUGAACCUUUACUAUAGCUUUGCACUGGACUUUGAAUUUGCUUGUGUAGGAUAGGUGGGAGGCUUUGAAGCGUGGACGCCAGUUCGCGUGGAGCCAUCCUUGAAAUACCACCCUGGCAACUUUGAGGUUCUAACUCAGGUCCGUUAUCCGGAUCGAGGACAGUGUAUGGUGGGUAGUUUGACUGGGGCGGUCUCCUCCUAAAGAGUAACGGAGGAGUACGAAGGUGCGCUCAGACCGGUCGGAAAUCGGUCGUAGAGUAUAAAGGCAAAAGCGCGCUUGACUGCGAGACAGACACGUCGAGCAGGUACGAAAGUAGGUCUUAGUGAUCCGGUGGUUCUGUAUGGAAGGGCCAUCGCUCAACGGAUAAAAGGUACUCCGGGGAUAACAGGCUGAUACCGCCCAAGAGUUCAUAUCGACGGCGGUGUUUGGCACCUCGAUGUCGGCUCAUCACAUCCUGGGGCUGAAGCCGGUCCCAAGGGUAUGGCUGUUCGCCAUUUAAAGUGGUACGCGAGCUGGGUUUAGAACGUCGUGAGACAGUUCGGUCCCUAUCUGCCGUGGACGUUUGAGAUUUGAGAGGGGCUGCUCCUAGUACGAGAGGACCGGAGUGGACGAACCUCUGGUGUUCCGGUUGUCACGCCAGUGGCAUUGCCGGGUAGCUAUGUUCGGAAUAGAUAACCGCUGAAAGCAUCUAAGCGGGAAACUAGCCUCAAGAUGAGAUCUCACUGGGACCUUGAGUCCCCUGAAGGGCCGUCGAAGACUACGACGUUGAUAGGUUGGGUGUGUAAGCGCUGUGAGGCGUUGAGCUAACCAAUACUAAUUGCCCGUGAGGCUUGACCAU